Molecule: long non-coding RNA, 2422 nt
Organism: Ictalurus punctatus (channel catfish)
Lineage: Eukaryota; Metazoa; Chordata; Actinopteri; Siluriformes; Ictaluridae
Source: Ensembl
CAAACUGCUGAUAAGCCACACCUCUUUGUGUUUCUCCAUGGUGGCAUAGAGUUUCUGGGAUAGGUCAUUGGCUACAUUCGGCAUCCCAGGCUUCUUCUUAUUGGCUCGACUCACGCUGCUCUUAUUCUUAUUGGUUUUCUUAUUGUUCUUCUUCUUGGCAUUUUUGCUGUCCCCUGGCGUAAAUCGCCCUCGAAGUAAGGCAGCUCGUUCGCGCUCGUCAAACGGUCCUCUGUCGCUUGUUUGAAGAUGUCCUGUAAAACGUGCCCGUAAGGUUUAAGGUUUUCGGCCUUGUCUAUAAAAAAUAAAAAACCUUUUGCCCGCUACACCCCAAAGAAGUAGGAGGAGAAACAUUGGAAUGUACCUUGUAGUCGUGGAGUAUCCUCUCUGCAAAGGCCUUGUCCAACAUCUUACGGUACCAUUCCUGCAGGCGCUUAGGUUUGGGGAUCUUCUGAUCGGCGGGGUGACAGUGGAAGAUGUAGUCGUCACCUUCGCUCGGAGGGCACGCCCAAAUAUGUCCCGUCACGUAACUGGGAAGGGAAGAUAAACAGCCAGCUUUUUUUAAUAUACAUCAUCAUUCGAACAUAUCGGUGCUUGUUAAGAAAUAACUAAAAUAAAACGGACGUACCCCAAUUUCUUGACGUAUUCCAGAUAACCGAUUAGGAUCUCAUGAUAAACUGCCGUCCGAAGCAGACGAGGUCUGAAGAAGUGAAUACUGUCAAGGUAUGAUAUGUAUACACGUCUGCGAAAAGAGGAGAAAAAAAAAAACCCAAAGACACACGGCGAUGUUAGUUAGAUCGUGGCUCUCCUGCGAAGCGCUGUACGCCCGGCGCUCAGGUAAGGUUUUACCUGGUGUUGGGAAAAGGGCAUUCCGAGCCGUAUUCCUGCACGUGCAUGCCAAAGAAACACACGUCCACGCCGUCGAUCUCCUCGAAGGCGAAAAGUGCUUUGGUUCUGUACGGGAAGCUCUCGCACAUCUCGUUGUUGUCUACAAACCUGGCAGGAGAGCGGAGCGGGUUAGUUUCCGAAGUUACCGCUUUGACCAUUUGAAGCGGCGCUGCACGCAACACACACUCAAGUAACAAAUUUAUUCAUUCAUUCAUUUUUGAAAAGCAGCCGAAAUCCGAAUGUAGGUUCCCUAACGAGGCGACGGCGGUGAGGAACGACGCUUACUUGGCCUUCAUGCCGGGUUUGACUUCCACUGUUUUGUCGGAACUCGCCACCACUCGCACGAACACCUCGCCGGCUUCUGGGUGGUUCUGCCUCUUCAAGUACUUGUUCACUCUGUCCUCGAUAUAUGUGCCUAACCGUGUCACCUGCAAUCCUGACACACACACACACAGAAGUUCAUGGUGGGGAACCCGAGCAAUGUGUUCGGAGGAAGAAGACGACACUUACUUUUUGCUGAGAACUUAUUUUCCUUCCUCGUCUUCCCGCUCUUCUUCAAACAGUUAUCACAGAUAAAGCUGCAGAGACAAAAACAGUUACCACACCUGACUCUAUGAAUAGUUGUAACAAAAAUUUUAAAAUCACACACACACCACUCACCCAGACGGCCAGAUGACUUCAUAAUGUAGGACGCAUAUCUGAUGCAUCUUGCGUCCGCAGUCUUUACAUUCGACGAACCUGAGUGCAGAAGAAUCGAUUCGUUGUUAAGAGAUCGGGAUUCGAAGUGUAUGACCUCUGACCUGCUGACUGCAGAUACGCAACACGGCGAGGCGAGGCAGAAGUCGUUCUCUAUACCUCCGGUUCUACUAAAAUAUUCCCUAAAACGCUUCAAGAGACACCAGAGUGGGAGUGUCACCCCGAGUCUUACAGCAGGGGGCGCCAUCCAACAGAAUGCGUCCUGCUGGACAAGAGUGGACUAUACUAUCGUGCACACACGUACGCUAACGUUUUUAUACUGCAGGAAUAAAGCGAAGUCGGUCACAUGAAGCAAUUAAGACUUUUGGUUUGGACCGGACUUACAUGCGCUGUUUGUGUGACUGUAUACUUACGGCUCGGGGUCUAGUGUAUCAUUCUUCUUUCUCUCAAACUGAUCCUUGGAAAUCAUCCUACACACAUACACACAGAGAGAGAGAGAGAGAGAGAGAGUGAGAGAGAGAGAACAGAUAAAAGAAAGAGUGACAAAGAGGGAGUGAGAGCAAACGCAUGAGAAAGAUAGAAAAGAGAGUGAACAGAGAGGGAAACAGUAGAGAGAGAGAAAAUAGAAAGAUAGAAUGAGAGAAAGAGACAGAGAGGGAGAAAAAAAGAGCACAAGAGACGAGAGAGAGGGAAAACAGAGAGAGAGAGAGAGAGAGAGAGAGGGUGAGAGUCAGAAAAGAGGGAGAGAGCGCAAGAGAGAAGAGAGGGGAAGAUAUGGAGCAAAAGAGAGAAUGAGAGUUGGUUGAAAGAACAGGGAGGGGAAAAGACAGAAAGACAGUAG